This 465-nucleotide ribosomal RNA is filed under the name Vreelandella stevensii. RNAcentral describes it as "partial 16S ribosomal RNA". It matches the Rfam family "Bacterial small subunit ribosomal RNA", at positions 338 to 795 of the family's 1533-position model. The record is from RNAcentral. Lineage: Bacteria; Pseudomonadati; Pseudomonadota; Gammaproteobacteria; Oceanospirillales; Halomonadaceae.
CCUACGGGUGGCUGCAGUGGGGAAUAUUGGACAAUGGGGGCAACCCUGAUCCAGCCAUGCCGCGUGUGUGAAGAAGGCCCUCGGGUUGUAAAGCACUUUCAGUGAGGAAGAACGCCUGGUGGUUAAUACCCAUCAGGAAAGACAUCACUCACAGAAGAAACACCGGCUAACUCCGUGCCAGCAGCCGCGGUAAUACGGAGGGUGCGAGCGUUAAUCGGAAUUACUGGGCGUAAAGCGCGCGUAGGUGGCUUGAUAAGCCGGUUGUGAAAGCCCCGGGCUCAACCUGGGAACGGCAUCCGGAACUGUCAAGCUAGAGUGCAGGAGAGGAAGGUAGAAUUCCCGGUGUAGCGGUGAAAUGCGUAGAGAUCGGGAGGAAUACCAGUGGCGAAGGCGGCCUUCUGGACUGACACUGACACUGAGGUGCGAAAGCGUGGGUAGCAAACAGGAUUAGAUACCCGAGUAGUC